This 585-nucleotide ribosomal RNA is filed under the name uncultured bacterium. Its description in RNAcentral is "partial 16S ribosomal RNA". It matches the Rfam family "Bacterial small subunit ribosomal RNA", at positions 355 to 1375 of the family's 1533-position model. The record is from RNAcentral.
UGGGGAAUUUUGGACAAUGGGCGAAAGCCUGAUCCAGCAAUGCCGCGUGUGUGAAGAAGGCCUUCGGGUUGUAAGGCACUUUUGUCCGGAAAGAAAUCCUCUGGGUUAAUACCUCGGGGGGAUGACGGUACCGGAAGAAUAAGCACCGGCUAACUACGUGCCAGCAGCCGCGGUAAUACGUAGGGUGCAAGCGUUAAUCGGAAUUACUGGGCGUAAAGCGUGCGCAGGCGGUUUUGUAAGACGGAUGUGAAAUCCCCGGGCUUAACCUGGGAACUGCAUUCGUGACUGCAAGGCUAGAGUAUGGCAGAGGGGGGUAGAAUUCCACGUGUAGCAGUGAAAUGCGUAGAGAUGUGGAGGAAUACCGAUGGCGAAGGCAGCCCCCUGGGCCAAUACUGACGCUCAUGCACGAAAGCGUGGGGAGCAAACAGGAUUAGAUACCCUGGUAGUCCACGCCCUAAACGAUGUCAACUAGUUGUUGGGGAUUCAUUUCCUUAGUAACGUAGCUAACGCGUGAAGUUGACCGCCUGGGGAGUACGGUCGCAAGAUUAAAACUCAAAUGAAUUGACGGGGUCAUAGCUGUUUCCU